Molecule: long non-coding RNA, 1220 nt
Filed under: Phasianus colchicus (ring-necked pheasant)
Lineage: Eukaryota; Metazoa; Chordata; Aves; Galliformes; Phasianidae
Description: lncRNA (ENSPCLG00000021047.1)
Source: RNAcentral
UAAGGAGUAUUACUGCACUUAACUUUCUUUGUGCUGUAUAAUAUAUUUCAGCUGGAAAAGACUGCUUGUCUAGAACCAUUUAUAAGUUUUAUUUUUAGUGUUUUCUUAGGGUCUGUUUGAUAAAUUAUGAAACCAAAUUUGCACGGUUGGAUUUCAAAAUUGUUGCGGCAAAUAGACCAUUAGUUUUGUGCAGUGUCUCACUGUGAAUUCUCACAUCUUGCCUUUGUAUUUGUUGUAUAUAUAUAACAGCUGAACAGCAACAAAAUUAUGACAAAGUCUACCCUAGUAUUUCCGUAGCUGAGGUCAUGCAGUGAUAGAAAAAUAUUUUCUGUCUUUCAGCUGAAGAAAACCCAACCAUAAGGCCUAAAGCAAGUGUUUAAGACAUCACGAGGAUUAGUUUCCUCAGUUAAGUAAUAAAAGACCAAAAAGCCAAAUUGAUACCUCUCUUGUGCUAGGUAAGGCUCAGUUUCACUAUACAACAGUGCAUUGUGUAGAUACAGACAGGAAGAGAAAACUGAAUUUCACUGACUCAGUUCAUUAAUUAUUUUAAAUGCUGAUCUGCAAGCAGUCUUGACUGGAUGACCCUGGGAAAUGCAUAUCUUGUCUGGUAAAAAGUAAGGAAUAUGCCAAGCAGCAAGACCUUAGAAAGAGAAUGAAGGUGAAUAACCUCAACAUUUUAGUUGGAGGUGGUGGGAAUUACAAAUGAAGGUAACUACUUUCCAUGUUGACCAGAUAGUGCCUCUGGUGAUCACUUAGCUUGGAUACCACAGCAGAAAACCUGGAAUGAGGCAGGACACCAUACUGGUAGGAGAUGAUGAGGAGCAGAAGUCGCCUAGCAUUAUGUUAGAGCUCCACACUCUUCCUCAGAGAAACUUCUCCUGGGAUGCUGUAUUGAAGGACUAGACAGAGAGAGAAGAAGCUUCUGGCAUCCUUUUUCUCCCCCUGCCUGGAGAGCAGGGGCUGCUGACAGGCAACAGAGAAGGAGCUCUCCCUGCUCUUCAAAAUGCUCUUCAGAGGGUAGAUCAUUCUUCUCAGGUCAAGUCAGGGAGAAAGAGAACAGACGGGGUAGCUUGCCCUUUCUUCUCCUUUUGCGGGCAGUUGGUUUGGUUGUAGCUACUCUGCUGACAUUCAGCAUUGCUGAAAUUUACUUCAGGGAAGCACACUUCAAGCACCACGUGCCCUUAUAAAACUUACUCUCAUUUCUGGGGGAAGAGUCAUUC